GACGAACGUUGGCGGCGUGCUUAACACAUGCAAGUCGAACGGAAAGGCCCUGCUUUUGUGGGGUGCUCGAGUGGCGAACGGGUGAGUAACACGUGAGUAACCUGCCCUUGACUUUGGGAUAACUUCAGGAAACUGGGGCUAAUACCGGAUAGGAGCUCCUGCUGCAUGGUGGGGGUUGGAAAGUUUCGGCGGUUGGGGAUGGACUCGCGGCUUAUCAGCUUGUUGGUGGGGUAGUGGCUUACCAAGGCUUUGACGGGUAGCCGGCCUGAGAGGGUGACCGGCCACAUUGGGACUGAGAUACGGCCCAGACUCCUACGGGAGGCAGCAGUGGGGAAUAUUGCACAAUGGGCGGAAGCCUGAUGCAGCAACGCCGCGUGCGGGAUGACGGCCUUCGGGUUGUAAACCGCUUUCGCCUGUGACGAAGCGUGAGUGACGGUAAUGGGUAAAGAAGCACCGGCUAACUACGUGCCAGCAGCCGCGGUGAUACGUAGGGUGCGAGCGUUGUCCGGAUUUAUUGGGCGUAAAGGGCUCGUAGGUGGUUGAUCGCGUCGGAAGUGUAAUCUUGGGGCUUAACCCUGAGCGUGCUUUCGAUACGGGUUGACUUGAGGAAGGUAGGGGAGAAUGGAAUUCCUGGUGGAGCGGUGGAAUGCGCAGAUAUCAGGAGGAACACCAGUGGCGAAGGCGGUUCUCUGGGCCUUUCCUGACGCUGAGGAGCGAAAGCGUGGGGAGCGAACAGGCUUAGAUACCCUGGUAGUCCACGCUGUAAACGGUGGGUACUAGGUGUGGGGUCCAUUCCACGGGUUCCGUGCCGUAGCUAACGCUUUAAGUACCCCGCCUGGGGAGUACGGCCGCAAGGCUAAAACUCAAAGGAAUUGACGGGGCCCCGCACAAGCGGCGGAGCAUGCGGAUUAAUUCGAUGCAACGCGUAGAACCUUACCUGGGUUUGACAUGGAUCGGGAGUGCUCAGAGAUGGGUGUGCCUCUUUUGGGGUCGGUUCACAGGUGGUGCAUGGCUGUCGUCAGCUCGUGUCGUGAGAUGUUGGGUUAAGUCCCGCAACGAGCGCAACCCUUGUUCACUGUUGCCAGCACGUUAUGGUGGGGACUCAGUGGAGACCGCCGGGGUCAACUCGGAGGAAGGUGGGGAUGACGUCAAGUCAUCAUGCCCCUUAUGUCCAGGGCUUCACGCAUGCUACAAUGGCUGGUACAGAGAGUGGCGAGCCUGUGAGGGUGAGCGAAUCUCGGAAAGCCGGUCUCAGUUCGGAUUGGGGUCUGCAACUCGACCUCAUGAAGUCGGAGUCGCUAGUAAUCGCAGAUCAGCAACGCUGCGGUGAAUACGUUCCCGGAGCU
RNAcentral lists this ribosomal RNA (1346 nucleotides) under uncultured bacterium. RNAcentral's name for it is "partial 16S ribosomal RNA". It matches the Rfam family "Bacterial small subunit ribosomal RNA", at positions 28 to 1381 of the family's 1533-position model. The record is from RNAcentral.